GACGAACGCUGGCGGCGUGCUUAACACAUGCAAGUCGAACGGAAAGGCCCUGCUUUUGUGGGGUGCUCGAGUGGCGAACGGGUGAGUAACACGUGAGUAACCUGCCCUUGACUUUGGGAUAACUUCAGGAAACUGGGGCUAAUACCGGAUAGGAGCUCCUGCUGCAUGGUGGGGGUUGGAAAGUUUCGGUGGCUGGGGAUGGACGCGGGGCUUAUCAGCUUGUUGGUGAGGUAGUGGCUUCCGAAGGCUUUGACGGGUAGCCGGACUGAGAGUGUGACCGGCCACAGUGGGACUGGGGUAGGGGCCAGACGGCUACGUGAGGAAGCAGGGGGAGACAUUGCACAAUGGGCGGAAGCCGGAUGCAGCGACGCCGGGUGGGGGAGGACGGCUUUCGGGGUGUAAACCGCUUGCGCGUGUGACGAAGCGUGAGUGACGGUAAUGGGUAAGGAAGCAACGGCUAACUACGUG
RNAcentral lists this ribosomal RNA (468 nucleotides) under uncultured bacterium. RNAcentral describes it as "partial 16S ribosomal RNA". It matches the Rfam family "Bacterial small subunit ribosomal RNA", at positions 28 to 507 of the family's 1533-position model. The record is from RNAcentral.